AGAAGAUGAGGUGCCAAGAACUGCCCAGCCUCUGACUAUAGGGUACUAUACCCUCCUGUGUGUGUUGCUCACUCUUUGAACCUUAGAUCGCCACUCUGAUCUUUCCUUUCUACAUGGUUGCAAGUCUCCAGUUGGGAGAAAAAUGCCGACAUCCUCCCCCACUCUCCAGGUAUAUUUGAACUUUUAUUUUGACUCUGAGAUCUAGGACACAACAGAACUCGGUCAACAGCAAUAAUCCACUCAGUACUAUGGGAUGGAUGGGUUAGAGGAUGAGACACUGAGACUGACACAGUUCAACCAGCUCCUGGACACUUGACCUGCCUCCUGUAGCUGUGCCCUGGACAGGUUGACAUUUCUGUGUAUGUUACAAGAAAAAGUUCUGCAUGUGGUGGAGUAGUCUGCCUGGGGCUGUGGGAUGUGCUGUUGUUAUGGAUUUGGAGUGGAUGGGUGAUACGGAUGCUGGUUAUCCUUCUGUAGCUCAUUGCGGUGAGCGCGAUGACAGGGAGCACGGGGAUGAUCUGUGUAGCAUAGGCAUGCGACCUUUGAUCAAGCUCUUACCCCCGCACUGUAAUGUGCUGAAAUGUCUUUGUAGACCUGAAGGUGCACUUAACUAAACUGCCUACUAUGGAAUGACUCAUCAUCUGGUCCACUUCACACCCCUGUCCCCAGGUUUUGCCCUUUCAACCCCUUCCUAGGUAUUGAGCCUUGAUAGCUCAUGCCCAGAUGCUUACCCGUUUUCUCUGGAAGGAGAAGACUUACGAUACACUAAUAGCCAUAGCCCAUCUCUUCCAACAUGUAGGGCCCUAGUUCCAUAGGGUGCCCUUGGAAGACAUCAGGUCAUCCUGUGGCUGUUAGCCAUCCCAGAAUCUCUGAAGUGCUUAACUCACUUCAAGUGAUCUGAAUCAGAGAGACCAAAGAUAUUAAUUUUCUCUGUCCUCAGAUUUCUAGAAGACAGACUAUGGCCAGGAAAGGGUUCGUUUUGGUUUGGGCUUUCUCUCUCCCUUCUCCAUCUGUCCACAUCCCUACCUCACUCCCCCUUGAGACCUAAAUUCUGAAGCUCAAUGACCUCUGUUCACUGGAAGUGCAGAUAAGUCCAGAGCACCAGGUCCAACAUUUCUCCCACACUGUAGUCAAUGGACAGUCUUUUUCUCUAACACGAAACUCUGUUGUGGGUUUAGAUUCCACUGAGGUGGAACCGGGGUUGACACAGCCUUGAUCUUCUCGAAACUAGAACAGAGUAAGAGUGGUGGCUAAGAAAUAAAUUUUCCUAAGUAGAAAUGAGAUUCAACCCGUAAAGGACUUUCUUCACAUUGGGUGUAGUAGUUACACCUUUUUCCAAUUAGAGUCUAAAAGAAUCAGUUAAAAAAAUAGUUUUCAACCUCAUGCUUCAUAUAUAAGAGGCCUCAAAGCACAUGCUUAUUUUUUUUUAAAGCAACUUUUUUAAUUCCUUGUUUGGUAGGUUGGAUUAAACGGAAAGUAGGAAAUGAACGUUAGCAGAAGGCAGUUCCCCAUUUCCUUCCAGGAAUGACUUCCUCCUGGGAGUGGUGAGAAUUGGUGGGUGGUAACCAUCCAUAGUAUAAAAUUGUUAGAAAGAGUAUGAACUGCCAAACAACCGAGUUAUCUCCCAGCCCCUUUCCAAGCAAGAGUGAAGCCUUUUGAUAUUUAUAUUCCCCCUGGGAAGGCAAGCGAACUAGAAUUUGAGGAGCAGACCCAGGCUUGGUUGACGUGUUCUCUCAGGUGGUGGACUCUCACCUACGUGUGGUACAGCAGGACUUACAUUUAUAGCAUGGGACUUCAGGGUAUAUGCAGACAAGUCUAGAAUGACUCAGGUAACCCUUUGAGAAUCGUGAACUACCUGCCACUUUUGUAAAGAAGCAAAGCAGGGACUGAAUUGCUAACCAAAACUAUCCCAUUACCUUGGGCCACUGUGCAAACUCAUUCAGGGCGUAGACAUAAGAUUAAAAGCUCCAGAUCAAGUGGCAGCCUCUUUGCUCAUCCACUCACGGGAGUGCCAGCGUGUAGGUAGAGCUUUAGGCUCUGCCGUCCUUAGUACAGCUUUGGGAAGGCUGACCCUAGUCACGGUGAUUUCCAUUUAGGGGUUAUCAGGGAAUUGGUGAUAUGAGACCUCCAAGGACCCAGAAGGUCCUUCCCCUAAAUCAAAGAAAAAGGAAUGGAUAAGGAAAGAAAAUAGAAGGAGAAAGCCCUUGCAGAGUAGACCGGGUCAUGAGCUGUCUUUCCCCUUAAAACUCGCAGAGGUCUCCUCCUUCUUCAAUGCACUGCUCGGGAGUCACUUAUGGAGCAGCCAUCAGUGGGUGGCACGGGCUCUGUGACAUACCUCUAAGGUGAAAGACAAACUAUUCCUGAGGCUGAAAGCUAAAGUCAAGAAGUACUAACCCGCAGUGCACCCUCAGGACGACAAACCAUUGAUGCUGAUGAAGUUGUGUUUUCUUUCUUGGCUUUGCCAAUCGCUUCCUCCUUGGGUUGAGGACCCUUCUCAUCUCAUCGCCCCUGCACUUGCCCUGCCCUAACCGUUUACCAUGUUGGGUUGAGGACACCGAAUGUUACGGAUGGAGAACCUAAGGACGCGCAUAGUUCUCAUCUAUGCAAUUUAACUUGGUUCUGUCACUUCAUGAUCUGUUCAUAUUUAGCAUCCAUUAAAGAUAAUUUUUAAGGAUCUUA
Molecule: long non-coding RNA, 2679 nt
Filed under: Rattus norvegicus (Norway rat)
Lineage: Eukaryota; Metazoa; Chordata; Mammalia; Rodentia; Muridae
Description: long non-coding RNA NONRATT021865
Source: RNAcentral